CAGCAAGACGCCUGCUGCUGCAAGGUUCUGCGCCUGAGCUCCAGCAGGGGGAGCUGUUAAUUAACAAGGCCAUCAUACAUGCUGAGGCUUUACAGAUGCAGCUGAUGGAUGGAGAGAUGAACUUUAUCUCUGUCUGGAGAGAGUGAUGUCGAGCUGCGCAGAAAAUCACUAACUCUGCCUGCAUACAACAGAAUGAAAAGAAGUGCUGAUGGAUUUCGGUCCAGAGAUCAGAGACCGAACUCAGAUCCUCAUCUCAGAGACCUUUACCUUGAGCCCCUGGAGUUAUCUUGGAUUGAGGCUGCAGAUAAACUGAUACGGACGCUGUACAGUCUGAAGGCGCUGGUGUCUCAGCAGGACAGCGAGUUGGAGGUUCUGCGUGCAGUUCAGUUGGAGCAUGAGCGUUCGUCCCGUCAGCGUUACAGCUCCAUCCAGGAUCAGGAGCGACAGCGGCACCUGGAGAAGCAGCGUGAGGAGCUCCUCCACCUGCAGAAGGUCCAUACGCAGCAGCGGCAGGAGCAGGAGGAGUGGGCUCGCGAGCGUCAGCGCCACCUGCUGGAGAUGCACAGGCGCGAGCAGGAGCUGAGCCGCCGCAUGGACGAGUACACCAACAAGGAGGCGUGGCUCUGUGCCGAGAGGACGUCCUGCACCGCAGCCGGGAGGAGUACCAGCAGGACCUGGAGCGUCUGAGGGACAGCACUCGCAUUGUGGAGAAGGAGAAGGAGAAACUGGAGCAGGAUAUCAAGAGAUUCAGAAAACACAAGAACCUCACCAAUCUGGGUGGAGCCUCAACCUGGGCGGGGCCUCACAUCAGGACAGCGCACAG
Ictalurus punctatus (channel catfish) is the source of this 823-nucleotide long non-coding RNA. The record is from Ensembl. Lineage: Eukaryota; Metazoa; Chordata; Actinopteri; Siluriformes; Ictaluridae.